CUCCCUGCUCACGUCCUCCCUCUCAUAUACACUAACAGUACUGUUAACCUCCCAGUGGGGUCUGGUAGAUAGACUCCUCUGUCAUUGGAUGAGAAAAGGAAAGGCUGUGUUUAGGAACACAAUUCAUUAUGGUGUUUAUGGCAUAACAGGCCACAGAUCCACCUCUUAAGAGCUCUCUACCUCCAGGAUAAUCACCUGAACAGGGUCGGUCUCAGUGACUGACCAGGUGAAUCCAGGUGAAAGCCAUGACCCCUUUAUUGAUGUCCACAUCAAAUCAGCGUAGAUGAAGCCUGCGAAGGAUUGUGAUUCAUGGAUUGUGUGUGUACCAUUCAGAGGGUGAACGGGCAAGACAAAAAUAACCUGGACAGGCUCUGCUGCUGCUCCCAGGCCACGCCCCCAUAGCCUGGACACAUGACCAACCACUCUACACCCAAGCAGGCCAGCCAGGCAGCCAGCAGCAGGCAUGCCACACCCCUCAUUCAGGGAGAGUUGAAUGGGGAGCAUUGUGAAUGUGCUGAACACAGGCACAGUGUGUGUGUGUGUGUGUGUGCAGGGGGGGGGGGCAGUUGGACAUGGGAGGAAAGGAGUGUGUUUUAAGAGUGCAUAUGUUUGAGAAAUGGAGAGAAAAGGGUGUAUGUGUUUGACAGGAAAAGUGAGUGUGUGUAAGAGGUGUAAACGGAAAGAUUAAAGAACAUUUGUGACAGUUUGCACGUGCUUAAAAAAGGAAAAAAAUGUUUGUAACAAAUGUGUAUUCAGUGAAAGAGAGUAUGUGUGUUGAUGUCCAUCUGUCCCUUCCCUCCCAAUGCUCAACGCAGUGUGUCUCUCCCUGUAUGUGUGUGUCUGAGUGUGUAUAUAUGUGUGUAUGCACACUGUAUGUGUACUGUGAGGAGGACACUGGGUCAUCUCUCCCCCUGGCUCUUUCUCCGCCUGGGUUAAAAUGAGUCUCCAUCCAUCACAUUAAUGCCUGCCUUAUACACCCCCAUGACUAAAGGAAUAUGUCCCGGUUAACGAAUGAAUACCAUCCCAUGGAGUCAUCAGACUCCGCAUGAAACGUUCUAUUGGAAACAGCUCCGUCGACUGUAAUUCAAAACAUUAAAGAGUACAAU
Molecule: non-coding RNA, 1106 nt
Organism: Salvelinus sp. IW2-2015
Lineage: Eukaryota; Metazoa; Chordata; Actinopteri; Salmoniformes; Salmonidae
Source: RefSeq, a predicted model, not a curated record